Long non-coding RNA from Zea mays, 205 nucleotides. RefSeq lists it as uncharacterized. The record is from RefSeq and is a predicted model, not a curated record. Lineage: Eukaryota; Viridiplantae; Streptophyta; Magnoliopsida; Poales; Poaceae. The transcript has 3 exons.
AGAGGUGGCUGGCCGGUUACCGUCUGUACAGUGGAUGCCAGAGCUUCGCCGAUUUUCACCUACUGUUCCUGUAGUUCUUGUUGGAACCAAACUAGAUCUCCGUGAAGACAGAUCUUACCUUGCUGACCAUUCUGCUGCUUCCAUCAUCUCUACUGAACAGGGAGAAGAGCUCAGGAAGCAGAUUGAAAUAAAACGACAAACAUUU